UUUGGCACUUCCAUCUCCCAGGAUCACGACUUUGUCUCUCGGUGGAGCAGUGGCUCCUGGCUGAGCCAUCGUAGGAAGAAAAUAUCCUGCAAAACAAGCAGAGAUGAUAUAGGUGUAGGGGAUGCCUUGAGCCUCAAUUGCUCUGCGGAUUUUAGCUUUUUCGGCAAAGUUAGUUUUUGCAGGCUCCACGACAUUUGUACGAUCCACAUCAUUUCCGAACUCUGAGGGAAUGAAUCUCUGUAAUCAUGAGCGAAAGCAAGGCACAUCAAAAAAAAUAAUUCAGGAGUGGAUUAGAAAAUAUUGGGAAAUAUAGGCGAACCUUGACGUUUCCAGCUUCUUUAAUAGCAUCAAGAAUCUUGGAUUGAUCAAGUAUCUGUCCGAAAGUCACCGCUGAGAUGACCACGUCCACUUGCUUAAUGGCCUUUACUAAACUCUCAUGAUCAUGGAGAUCUCCCUGCACAUACCAAAUGAAAUUCAACUAUAUACAAAUAAACAUGUUCAUUUGUGGACAGUCGAUUUUAACAUAAAUUGGCCUUACAUAGACGACUGUAACUCCGGAGNUGGCGCACUAUGUAACUCCAUACAAGGAGUCACUCUCCGGAAUGUUGGCCGACAUAUGUAUGCCACAACAUAAUGGCUGUAGACCUCCAAAAUCAUAAACUGAUAUAUUUCGACAAAAUCAGUGUAAAAAAGACAAGCCAAUAAGCCAUACUUUGCGAUCAAUGGUUCAAUGUCACACAUAAAGUGUAAACAACAUCAACAUAAAAACAUUAUAAACUCAAAUAAAGAUAACAUACCAAACCAUGAGCAGGCUGUUUUAUAUCCAGUACUGACACUACUAGAGAACUACAGAGUACAAAGCGCACACACGCAUCCUUUAUUUAUUUUACUAAGAAACAUGACAAGUAGAUCAUCAUAGUAUUAUGAAUGAAGCUCAAACAAACUGCUGGAGGUAUUCGUCAACGGUUGUGUACUUGACAUCAGGGUAGAGCUGAGAAGCCUCGUGUCCAAAUGAAGCCUCUAUCUCGAAAUUGGUUUGAUCUCCCUUAACAAAUACCGCAUGGCUGAUUGAAAUUAUCAAAUUCAUCGGUGGUGCUGACCCUGCAAAAUUACAUAAAAAAACCACAAACAAGUUCGGAUCAUGUUUCUGAUGCACUGAUAAUUUGGUAGUCGUUUGAUGGUUCUAGCUCUGUUGUCAUGUUAUUUCUAGAGGCUACUCACCUUGGAUUUGGUUUAGAACAUGCUCCUCUGGAACAUGAAUCUUUUCAAGAACCUUGUCGAUCUUCUUCUCCCACAAGGUAACUAGAUCGUUGAAGGAGUGGAUAUUGUGAGGAGGCUUGAUGUAGAGGGACUUGUUAACGGUUCUCGGGUCGUCCACUGUUUUAAUAGUGUAGGUGGCAAUAUCUUGUUCCAAGUUAAACACAGCUGCAACCCAGGAGAAACAGAAUUAUAGCCUUUCCCAAAUCAUGUUUAUUGAUACCUAAAGUCAUAAAGAAAAUAUUAGACAGAGUCACGGUACCUUUGGCACUUCCAUCUCCCAGGAUCACGACUUUGUCUCUCGGUGGAGCAGUGGCUCCUGGCUGAGCCAUCGUAGGAAGAAAAUAUCCUGCAAAACAAGCAGAGAUGAUAUAGGUGUAGGGGAUGCCUUGAGCCUCAAUUGCUCUGCGGAUUUUAGCUUUUUCGGCAAAGUUAGUUUUUGCAGGCUCCACGACAUUUGUACGAUCCACAUCAUUUCCGAACUCUGAGGGAAUGAAUCUCU
RNAcentral lists this long non-coding RNA (1759 nucleotides) under Daucus carota (carrot). Its description in RNAcentral is "long non-coding RNA (DCAR_LNC003073)". Lineage: Eukaryota; Viridiplantae; Streptophyta; Magnoliopsida; Apiales; Apiaceae. The record is from RNAcentral.